RNAcentral lists this ribosomal RNA (525 nucleotides) under uncultured bacterium. Its description in RNAcentral is "bacterial SSU rRNA". It matches the Rfam family "Bacterial small subunit ribosomal RNA", at positions 8 to 525 of the family's 1533-position model. The record is from RNAcentral.
AGAGUUUGAUCCUGGCUCAGAUUGAACGCUGGCGGCAUGCUUUACACAUGCAAGUCGAACGGCAGCACGGGCUUCGGCCUGGUGGCGAGUGGCGAACGGGUGAGUAAUGCAUCGGAACGUGCCCAUGUUGUGGGGGAUAACUACGCGAAAGCGUGGCUAAUACCGCAUACGCCCUGAGGGGGAAAGCGGGGGAUUCUUCGGAACUUGCGCUAAAUGAUGAGCCUAAGUCGGAUUAGCUAGUUGGUGGGGUAAAGGCCUACCAAGGCGACGAUCUGUAGCGGGUCUGAGAGGAUGAUCCGCCACACUGGGACUGAGACACGGCCCAGACUCCUACGGGAGGCAGCAGUGGGGAAUAUUGCGCAAUGGGGGCAACCCUGACGCAGCGACGCCGCGUGAGUGAGGAAGGCCUUCGGGUCGUAAAGCUCUGUCAAAGGGGAAGAAGUGCAUGAUGGUUAAUAUCUGUCGUGUUUGACGGUACCCUUAAAGGAAGCACCGGCUAACUCCGUGCCAGCAGCCGCGGUAAUA